This is a long non-coding RNA of Seriola aureovittata, 1433 nucleotides long. RefSeq lists it as uncharacterized. NCBI's taxonomy places the organism in Eukaryota, Metazoa, Chordata, Actinopteri, Carangiformes, Carangidae. The record is from RefSeq and is a predicted model, not a curated record. The transcript has 2 exons.
GUUGAAUGUCACCGUCACCGUUGCUGUUGCUGCUGCCAUCCACUGCGACCUGCUACAGCAGCCAGACUGCUUCUGUUGUCAAGCCACUCGGCUACAUAUACGAGAAAUCCUGACCGAGCGUUUCCAGCUCACCGUAUCCAUCAAAAUGUGUCCAGGCUGUUAACAGCCUCUCUCAGCGACGCAGCAUUUCUUCUUCUCUCUCUGAAUAUACGACUUGGUCGGCGUUCAGCUCGUUCUGGCAGCUGCAGCGUGGACUUUGGCUGCAGAUGUGCGAAGCCUUUCUCUGGGUGUUGUGCUGCUGCAGCCUCGGGGCGCUGCUCUCUGGUAACGAGCGCUGUGACUUCACAACUCAUCAAAGUUGAUGCUGACGGUGGGGUGAAAGUUAAUUGUCCCUGUAAUGGAGCCUCAGCCGGCCAAUGCUGCCAAACACCCCACCACCACCACGACCUCUGCCCCUCCACCCUCCUCCUCUCUGAUACUGGACUGUUCUGGUCCUCCUCGAUGGAAACCAGACUUCCUGCUAAGGACUGCAGGCCUGAUAAAGACCACAGCCGACCUUCAGACUUUACAGAGCACUUAUCACACUCUCAGCAUCAAGGCUUGUUCAGGACUGAGGCUGCUGAGGAACCAGGUCCAGGCCUGUUGAGGGUCUGUACCGUGUGAACACUGGUUCUACAGCUGUUUCCAUGAAACAUCGUCAAACUUGGCACCAAACAAAACCUUCUCCUGUUCAGAAGACGGUUCUUAAAUCCAUCAAGACUCUUCUAAUCUGGAUCAGCGCCUACAUGGAAACUUCUCUUGGCGGUUCUGACAGGUCUGGUGUUGUGUUCACUGUCGGCUGUUUUCCCAGUUGGAAAAACAACUCGGCCAUUUAGAGCUUUUGCGGAUGCAGCUGCAGGUUGUUGUGUUACAGAAAUAAAAACUCUUUAAUUCAACAUGACAAAGUGAACGGCUCCUAACAACUUCCAGCAGCUUCUGUGUCGGCUGAAGAUGACAGGGAUGGGACACAUGUGUCAGCUGAUAAUGAUCAGUUUUAAUGACUUAUUAUACUAUGACUUUUUUAUGGAGUGGCACGGAGGUGAGGUGGUUGAAAUUGUCGCCUCAAAGUGAAAAGGUCCUUUCUAUGUUUAUGUUCUCCCUCUGCCUGUGUGGGUUCUCUCCAGGUGAUCUUGCUUCCUCCAGCAGUCCAAAGACAUGCCCAUUAGAUUAAAUGGCAACUCUAAUACCUUACUAUACUACAUCGUUUUUAUGCCUUACAAUACUAUGUUUUUUUUAAAUAUUUUUAUGCCUUACUAUACUAUGACGUUUUCUGAUGUUUUUAUGCCUUACUAUACUACUGUAUGAUGUUUUCUGAUGUUUUAUGUCUCAGUGUACUAUGAUGUAUUUUGACGUUUUCAUACUUUACUAUGCAAUUAAAUUUUUAUGCCAUACUA